Camelus ferus (Wild Bactrian camel) is the source of this 73-nucleotide transfer RNA. It matches the Rfam family "tRNA". Rfam says of the family: Transfer RNA (tRNA) molecules are approximately 80 nucleotides in length. Their secondary structure includes four short double-helical elements and three loops (D, anti-codon, and T loops). Further hydrogen bonds mediate the characteristic L-shaped molecular structure. tRNAs have two regions of fundamental functional importance: the anti-codon, which is responsible for specific mRNA codon recognition, and the 3' end, to which the tRNAs corresponding amino acid is attached (by aminoacyl-tRNA synthetases). tRNAs cope with the degeneracy of the genetic code in two manners: having more than one tRNA (with a specific anti-codon) for a particular amino acid; and 'wobble' base-pairing, i.e. permitting non-standard base-pairing at the 3rd anti-codon position. The record is from Rfam. NCBI's taxonomy places the organism in Eukaryota, Metazoa, Chordata, Mammalia, Artiodactyla, Camelidae.
GAGGGUAUAGCUCAAGUGGUAGAGUGCAUGCUUAGCCUGCAUGAGGUCCUGGGUUCAAUCCCCAGUACCUCCU